Molecule: long non-coding RNA, 440 nt
Organism: Vicia villosa (hairy vetch)
Lineage: Eukaryota; Viridiplantae; Streptophyta; Magnoliopsida; Fabales; Fabaceae
Exons: 2
Source: RefSeq, a predicted model, not a curated record
UUUUAAUAAUUAUUUUAAUUUUAAGAACAACUUUUUAAAAGUUUAUAAAUUAUAAUAUUAUUUUAAUUUAUGUAAGGAGAGUUCAAAUUUUAAAAGAUUUAAAUUGAUAAAACCAUUUCUUUAUUUCAGAGAAAGAUAUAUGGCUGAAGUUAUGAAAUUUGUAUAUAUUAUGAUUAUCUUUAUUUCUAUCUUUCUUGUGCAAUUCAACAAUGGAAGAGUUGCUACAUGUGGAAAAGAUACAGAUUGUACAAGUUUUCUUGUGUGGUGCACACCCCCACUGAUAGUGAAGUGUAAUAAUAGACAAUGCAAAUGUGCUGAUGUGAUAGCAUUUAGUUAAUAAUGUUCACAUAUGAUUCUAAAUUUAAUUUGGUAUCCAAGAGAGUAUACAAGUUCUCUUCAAGAAUAAUUAAUACUCUUCGAAUGCUCUUCUAAGCUUUUAA